Ipomoea nil (Japanese morning glory) is the source of this 1088-nucleotide RNA transcript. RefSeq lists it as uncharacterized. The transcript is spliced from 6 exons. NCBI's taxonomy places the organism in Eukaryota, Viridiplantae, Streptophyta, Magnoliopsida, Solanales, Convolvulaceae. The record is from RefSeq and is a predicted model, not a curated record.
AACCUACGCAUCUUCCGCUCUCUUCUUUUUCAACCUCUCCUAAAUCCCUAAAACAUUAGUUCUUUUCCUAAGCCGCAUAUGCACAGACCUAGUCAUUCCUCUUCCUUCAAAUCGUAGCAACUCGCAAGCCGCCGUCUCCGCCUCAAGACCGCCAUCGCCGCCUCAAGACCGCCAUCGCCGCCUCAAGACCGCCAUCGCCACCUCCAGACCUCCAUCGUCAGUUGCCCAGUUUUCCACACAGCUUUGUUCGUUCGUCGCAAGCAGCCAUCGCCACCUCCGGCGCUUUCCCCUUCGCAGCACAGCCGUGGCAUACCAAAUGUGAGGGCCAAAGGGAAAGCAUUUGUUUGUGUUGCUAACAUUUUAAAGCGAAUGCAAGCUGAAGAAUCUAUGAACUUAAAGAGCACAGGCUAUAACUGAUUAUAAAUUAGAAGUUUCCAGAGGCCUCUGUUUGGUCCACACAAGAUCCAGGGAAUUGGAGCUAGAGUUUUGGAAGUUAAUCUUCUUGAUGAAGUAAUUCAAGUAAGAUAUGAUUAUUUUUUUCUGAUGAAGUAAUACCAUCUCGGAGUGAUAUUCUUGCUAGAGUUUAAAAUGGAACUGGCAAAACAUUUGCCUUCUGUAUUGCUGCACUAGAAAAAAUUGAUCCAGACAACAAUCUCAUUCAAGGAAUCUUGUUUGUACUGGUAUGCCUUUUCCUGUGGUUCUCUAUAUGGAAAUAUGUUCCUUGUUGCAUAGGCAAUUUCUGCACUUAUUGGAGGCAAUGGCUACUUACUCCCUGGAUCAAGAUAUAUUGGAGGCUGCAGCUUAAUUUGUUGCAGGGAUAUGAUGCUAACGUUGAUGCCCAGGUUGCUUAUGAUGAUUUUGUUGCUGCUGGAUCAUUUGCAGUUGCAAGAGAGAAAAGCCAUUGAAGUAGUGCCGGAUUUGAAGGCUUAUUUGGGUGCAACAUACUUAAGUAGUAUCAAUUGAGUAGUAUAUAUUUUCAUGACCUUUUUAUUUUUAAUGAACAUGACCAUAAUUUUUGUUGUAAAGAAUUUUGAUGUUUAAAUAUAUUUUCAAUUUUCAAUUUAGUGUGUCCAUGAAUUUGUUGAUGA